RNAcentral lists this ribosomal RNA (497 nucleotides) under uncultured bacterium. RNAcentral's name for it is "partial 16S ribosomal RNA". It matches the Rfam family "Bacterial small subunit ribosomal RNA", at positions 28 to 507 of the family's 1533-position model. The record is from RNAcentral.
GAUGAACGCUGGCGGCGUGCCUAAUACAUGCAAGUCGAGCGAACGGACGAGAAGCUUGCUUCUCUGAUGUUAGCGGCGGACGGGUGAGUAACACGUGGAUAACCUACCUAUAAGACUGGGAUAACUUCGGGAAACCUGAUCUAAUACCGGAUAAUAUUUUGAACCGCAUGGUUCAACAGUGAAAGACGGUCUUGCUGUCACUAAUAGAUGGAUCCGCGCUGCAUUAGCUAGUUGGUAAGGUAACGGCUUACCAAGGCAACGAUGCAUAGCCGACCUGAGAGGGUGAUCGGCCACACUGGAACUGAGACACGGUCCAGACUCCUACGGGAGGCAGCAGUAGGGAAUCUUCCGCAAUGGGCGAAAGCCUGACGGAGCAACGCCGCGUGAGUGAUGAAGGUCUUCGGAUCGUAAAACUCUGUUAUUAGGGAAGAACAUAUGUGUAAGUAACUGUGCACAUCUUGACGGUACCUAAUCAGAAAGCCACGGCUAACUACGUG